This 598-nucleotide small RNA is filed under the name Drosophila yakuba. RNAcentral describes it as "GE27815". The record is from RNAcentral. Lineage: Eukaryota; Metazoa; Arthropoda; Insecta; Diptera; Drosophilidae.
AAAUAUAUCUAACUGAAAUUAAAAUAACAAAAAUAAGAGUAUGAUUAAUAUUCGCUUAGCGUAACAGAUUGGAAAAUAUUUAGCUCACCAUUUUCACGGACGACAACUAAUCUUCUUCCCAAGCAACAAUUGGCAAUCGGCGGAAAAGCAAGCUUUUUUGGACGGCUCACAUUGGGCGAGCUUCAGGUGGCCAUAACAAAGAAAACAAGGAAAACAGAAGAAACUUUUAUGUGCCAAUGUUUACGUGGCAUCGUUUCCACUGGUUGGCCGGCUUCAGAUAUCUUUCGCAAGACACUACGAACGUUUCCCUCCAGCAGAGUGUGUAUUUAAGCCCGAUGUGGAACGGACCAAACACCAAAUCGCUAAUUCUUAUAUUCGGAUUGGGGUUCGACUGCCUAUUGGCGUUAUAGCCCGCGAUUUGGUUUUUUUUGCCAAGGCAACUUGUUGCUACGAAGUGAGGUUUUCAGUAGCUGUUGCGUUACGGCACCAUGAACAAGUAUAGUUGGAAUCUGUUUUUGGAAAACAAUAAUCUGUAAGUAGCUGAAUCAGGCGGGUCUCAAGCAAAAUGCAUCGCUUUAAGUUUGCACAUCUAAUAUAA